UACGUAGGGCGCAAGCGUUGUCCGGAAUUAUUGGGCUUAAAGAGCUCGUAGGCGGCCUGUCGCGUCUGCUGUGAAAUCCCGGGGCUUAACCCCGGGCGUGCAGUGGAUACGGGCUGGCUGGAGGCAGGCAGGGGAGAACGGAAUUCCCGGUGUAGCGGUGAAAUGCGCAGAUAUCGGGAGGAACACCGGUGGCGAAGGCGGUUCUCUGGGCCUGUGCUGACGCUGAGGAGCGAAAGCGUGGGGAGCGAACAGG
RNAcentral lists this ribosomal RNA (253 nucleotides) under uncultured bacterium. RNAcentral's name for it is "partial 16S ribosomal RNA". It matches the Rfam family "Bacterial small subunit ribosomal RNA", at positions 524 to 776 of the family's 1533-position model. The record is from RNAcentral.